AGCAGCCGCGGUAAUUCCAGCUCCAAUAGCGUAUAUUAAAGUUGUUGCAGUUAAAAAGCUCGUAGUUGAAUUUCGGGGUUAGCAGGUCGGUCGUGCCAUUGGUAUGAACUGGUCUCGCUGAUCCCUCCCUCUUGACGAACUGUGAUGCCAUUAAUUUGGUGUCGCAGGGAAUCAGGACUGUUACUUUGAAAAAUUAGAGUGUUUAAAGCAGGCUCACGCUUGAAUACAUUAGCAUGGAAUAAUGAAAUAGGACGUUUGAUCCUAUUUUGUCGGCUUCUAGGAUUGACGUAAUGGUUAAUAGGGAUAGUUGGGGGCAUUAGUAUUCAAUUGUCAGAGGUGAAAUUCUUGGAUUUAUUGAAGACUAACUACUGCGAAAGCAUUUGCCAAGGAUGUUUUCAUUAAUCAAGAACGAAAGUUAGGGGAUCGAAGACGAUCAGAUACCGUCGUAGUCUUAACCAUAAACUAUGCCGACUAGGGAUCGGAUGAUGUUAAUUUUUAAUGACUCAUUC
This 509-nucleotide unclassified non-coding RNA is filed under the name uncultured Glomus. Its description in RNAcentral is "SSU rRNA". It matches the Rfam family "Eukaryotic small subunit ribosomal RNA", at positions 569 to 1081 of the family's 1831-position model. Lineage: Eukaryota; Fungi; Glomeromycota; Glomeromycetes; Glomerales; Glomeraceae. The record is from RNAcentral.